AAUGAACGCUGGCGGCGUGCCUAACACAUGCAAGUCGGAUGUGCCUUUCGGGGUGCAUGGCAGACGGGUGAGUAACGCGUAGGGAACCUACCUCUUUGUGGGGAAUAACGUUCCGAAAGGAAUGGUAAUACCGCAUGAGACCAUGAGCUGGAAUGCUGAUGGUGAAAGCCGGGGAUCGAAAGACCUGGCGCAAGGAGAGGGUCCUGCGUCUGAUUAGCUAGUUGGUGGGGUAACGGCCUACCAAGGCGACGAUCAGUAGCCGGCCUGAGAGGAUGAUCCGCCACACUGGGACUGAGACACGGCCCAGACUCCUACGGGAGGCAGCAGUGGGGAAUUUUGGACAAUGGGCGCAAGCCUGAUCCAGCCAUGCCGCGUGAGUGAAGAAGGCC
Molecule: ribosomal RNA, 389 nt
Filed under: uncultured bacterium
Lineage: Bacteria
Description: bacterial SSU rRNA
Rfam family: Bacterial small subunit ribosomal RNA
Source: RNAcentral